This 444-nucleotide ribosomal RNA is filed under the name uncultured bacterium. Its description in RNAcentral is "SSU rRNA". It matches the Rfam family "Bacterial small subunit ribosomal RNA", at positions 26 to 518 of the family's 1533-position model. The record is from RNAcentral.
AGAACGAACGCUGGCGGCAGGCUUAACACAUGCAAGUCGGGCGCCCCGCAAGGGGAGCGGCAGACGGGUGAGUAACGCGUGGGAACAUACCCUCCGGUUCGGAAUAGCUCAGGGAAACUUGGAUUAAUACCGGAUACGGCCUAGCGGCGAAAGAUUCAUCGCCGGAGGAUUGGCCCGCGUUCGAUUAGCUAGUUGGUGAGGUAACGGCUCACCAAGGCGACGAUCGAUAGCUGGUCUGAGAGGAUGAUCAGCCACAUUGGGACUGAGACACGGCCCAAACUCCUACGGGAGGCAGCAGUGGGGAAUAUUGGACAAUGGGCGCAAGCCUGAUCCAGCCAUGCCGCGUGAGUGAUGACGGCCUUAGGGUUGUAAAGCUCUUUCGCUAGGGACGAUAAUGACGGUACCUAGACAAGAAGCCCCGGCUAACUUCGUGCCAGCAGCCGC